This 69-nucleotide transfer RNA is filed under the name Nisia fuliginosa. Its description in RNAcentral is "tRNA-Gln". The record is from RNAcentral. Lineage: Eukaryota; Metazoa; Arthropoda; Insecta; Hemiptera; Meenoplidae.
UAUGAAAGGGUGUUUUAUAGCAUAGGAUAUUUUGAAUAUUUAGGUUUUAAUUAAAUUUAUUUUUCAUAA